RNAcentral lists this ribosomal RNA (616 nucleotides) under Pediococcus pentosaceus. RNAcentral's name for it is "bacterial SSU rRNA". Lineage: Bacteria; Bacillati; Bacillota; Bacilli; Lactobacillales; Lactobacillaceae. The record is from RNAcentral.
GGGUUUCCGCCCUUCAGUGCUGCAGCUAACGCAUUAAGUAAUCCGCCUGGGGAGUACGACCGCAAGGUUGAAACUCAAAAGAAUUGACGGGGGCCCGCACAAGCGGUGGAGCAUGUGGUUUAAUUCGAAGCUACGCGAAGAACCUUACCAGGYCUUGACAUCUUCUGACAGUCUAAGAGAUUAGAGGUUCCCUUCGGGGACAGAAUGACAGGUGGUGCAUGGUUGUCGUCAGCUCGUGUCGUGAGAUGUUGGGUUAAGUCCCGCAACGAGCGCAACCCUUAUUACUAGUUGCCAGCAUUAAGUUGGGCACUCUAGUGAGACUGCCGGUGACAAACCGGAGGAAGGUGGGGACGACGUCAAAUCAUCAUGCCCCUUAUGACCUGGGCUACACACGUGCUACAAUGGAUGGUACAACGAGUCGCGAGACCGCGAGGUUAAGCUAAUCUCUUAAAACCAUUCUCAGUUCGGACUGUAGGCUGCAACUCGCCUACACGAAGUCGGAAUCGCUAGUAAUCGCGGAUCAGCAUGCCGCGGUGAAUACGUUCCCGGGCCUUGUACACACCGCCCGUCACACCAUGAGAGUUUGUAACACCCAAAGCCGGUGGGGUAACCUUUU